GAUGAACGCUAGCGGCAGGCCUAAUACAUGCAAGUCGGGCGGGAUUCAGGAGAUUGCUUCUGAUGAGAGUGGCGCACGGGUGCGUAACACGUAUGUAACCUACCUUUAUCAGGGGGAUAGCCUCUCGAAAGAGAGAUUAAGCCCGCAUAAAAUCUCAGCACAGCCUUAUGUAAUGAACAAAUAUUUAUAGGAUAAAGAUGGGCAUGCGGAACAUUAGCGAGAUGGCGGGGUAACGGCCCACCAUGGCUACGCUGUUGAGGGGAGCUGAGAGGAUGGCACCCUACACUGGAACUAAGACACGGACCAGACUGCGACGGAAGGCAGGAGUAAGGUAUGUUGGGCGAUGGACGGAAGCGUGAACCAGCCAUGCCAGGGGCAGGAAUACGGCCCUACGGGUUGUAAACUGCUUUGAUACGGGAAAAAACCAAGAUACGUGGAUCUGGCUGAAGGUACUGAAAGAAUAAGGAUCGGCUAACUCCGUG
RNAcentral lists this ribosomal RNA (482 nucleotides) under uncultured bacterium. Its description in RNAcentral is "partial 16S ribosomal RNA". It matches the Rfam family "Bacterial small subunit ribosomal RNA", at positions 28 to 507 of the family's 1533-position model. The record is from RNAcentral.